GCCUUGGUGGUGUAGUGGUUAGCGUGUGCCUCCUGAAAGAGUGAGACGCGGGUUCAACUCCCAACCGAGUUCCAAAGCU
Parelaphostrongylus tenuis is the source of this 79-nucleotide non-coding RNA. The record is from the annotation of a GenBank genome assembly. Lineage: Eukaryota; Metazoa; Nematoda; Chromadorea; Rhabditida; Metastrongylidae.